Molecule: non-coding RNA, 24 nt
Filed under: Cricetulus griseus (Chinese hamster)
Lineage: Eukaryota; Metazoa; Chordata; Mammalia; Rodentia; Cricetidae
Source: RNAcentral
UCGUGUUCUAUGAUAAUGAAAAGC